RNAcentral lists this ribosomal RNA (570 nucleotides) under uncultured Planctomycetota bacterium. RNAcentral's name for it is "bacterial SSU rRNA". It matches the Rfam family "Bacterial small subunit ribosomal RNA", at positions 561 to 1122 of the family's 1533-position model. Lineage: Bacteria; Pseudomonadati; Planctomycetota. The record is from RNAcentral.
UAAAGCGUACGCAGGCGGACACGCAGGCAUCUUGUGAAAUCCCUCCGCUCAACGGAGGAACUGCAGGGUGAACCGCGUGUCUUGAGACAAGUAGGGGCUGUCGGAACGCUAGGUGGAGUGGUGAAAUGCGUUGAUAUCUAGCGGAACGCCNAAGGUGAAGACAGGCAGCUGGGCUUGUUCUGACGCUCAUGUACGAAAGCGUGGGGAGCGAACGGGAUUAGAUACCCCGGUAGUCCACGCCGUAAACGAUGUGCACUAGAUCGAGGGGGUUCUGACGCCGCUCUCGGUCGAAGCGAAAGUGUUAAGUGCACCGCCUGGGGAGUACGGUCUCAAGGCUAAAACUCAAAGGAAUUGACGGGGGCUCACACAAGCGGUGGAGCAUGUGGCUUAAUUCGAAGCAACGCGAAGAACCUUAUCCUGGGUUUGACAUGCACGGAUUAGCUUCCUGAAAGGGAAGUGACGCUCUUUGAGUGGAACGUGCACAGGUGCUGCAUGGCUGUCGUCAGCUCGUGCUGUGAAGUGUCGGGUUAAGUCCCUUAACGAGCGCAACCCCUAUCGCUAGUUGCCAGC